GAUGAACGCUGGCGGCGUGCCUAAUACAUGCAAGUCGAGCGAACAGACGAGGAGCUUGCUCCUCUGACGUUAGCGGCGGACGGGUGAGUAACACGUGGAUAACCUACCUAUAAGACUGGGAUAACUUCGGGAAACCGGAGCUAAUACCGGAUAAUAUAUUGAACCGCAUGGUUCAAUAGUGAAAGACGGUUUUGCUGUCACUUAUAGAUGGAUCCGCGCCGCAUUAGCUAGUUGGUAAGGUAACGGCUUACCAAGGCAACGAUGCGUAGCCGACCUGAGAGGGUGAUCGGCCAAACUGGAACAAGAACACGGUCCAGACUCCUACGGGAGGCAGCAGUAGGGAAUCUUCCGCAAUGGGCGAAAGCCUGACGGAGCAACGCCGCGUGAGUGAUGAAGGUCUUCGGAUCGUAAAACUCUGUUAUUAGGGAAGAACAAAUGUGUAAGUAACUAUGCACGUCUUGACGGUACCUAAUCAGAAAGCCACGGCUAACUACGUG
RNAcentral lists this ribosomal RNA (497 nucleotides) under uncultured bacterium. RNAcentral describes it as "partial 16S ribosomal RNA". It matches the Rfam family "Bacterial small subunit ribosomal RNA", at positions 28 to 507 of the family's 1533-position model. The record is from RNAcentral.